Molecule: long non-coding RNA, 463 nt
Filed under: Physcomitrium patens
Lineage: Eukaryota; Viridiplantae; Streptophyta; Bryopsida; Funariales; Funariaceae
Description: long non-coding RNA (PPAT_LNC006992)
Source: RNAcentral
AUAUAAGUAUAAGAAUAGAUUGUAAUUGAAGUAGAAGAAAGAAUUGGUAAUGGAAGAUGUAAGAAAGAUUGAAUAUGGUAUGUAGAAAAUUUAUAAAAGUAAAAAUGAGAUUUUGAGGUUGUAUGUUGGUUGUUGUAAAUCAAAUGAGAGAUAUAGCAAUAGUAGCAAUGAAAAUGAAGAUAAAUGAGGAGUAAGAAUAAAACAUGAUUAUAAGAGCAUUGGUACAAUAUUAUAGGAAAGAUAAGUAAUACAUGCUAUAAGUGUGCCAAAGUAAGUAAGAGGGAAUGAUGUAAAUCAAAAUGAUGUAUUUGUGUCACGGACAUACUCAUGUAAGCUAGUAAUUACAUAUAAAAAUAAGCAAAAGUAAGUAAAAGUAAGUAAAAAUAAGUUAAUUCUAUAGUAUUUAAUAUAAAAGCUUUCUAGAAGCUUCAUAGAUGUUGCUUUGACUUCAUAGGUAUCUUUA